AAAAGGGAGGAGUCAUUCGUAAAGACAAACAGGCUUAGAGCGACACCUUUUGGGCGGAAUUAUUAUUAUUCGGAUACUGUGAGUUUUCUGGGCUGUGUGGCCAUGUUCCGGAAGCAUUAUCUCCUGACGUUUCGUCCACAUCAAUGGCAGGCAUCUUCAGAGGCUGUGAGGAGCAUACUAUCUUUUGAAGGUGUCACGUUGGCGUUGGAAUAAACAAGUGUUUUCCAUCACCUCCUGAUUCAGACGGUGUGAGCUCCCAUCUGUCAGCUCUAGCUUGCGGGGACAUGAGAGAAGCCUCCUAGCAGGAUGGUAACACAUCUGGGUUUCUCCUGGGCAACAUCGCUGUAGACAGCCAAUUCUCUCACACCAAAAGCGACUUGCGGUAUGUUCUCAAGUCGCUUCUAACACAAUAAAAAACCCAUCCUGAUUUGCAUGCACUUCACCCAGUAAGUACCGCAGCAUGAAUGGGCAUGAAGCCUUGAGGAAGUGCCACUGAGUGGAAGAAUAGCAACAUUUGUACAUGGUGUUGCCUUUCGCCUUGAAAUGAAUGAAUGCGUCCAGAUAAGAUGAACACAAGGCGGCUGAUGCCAACCCACCAUAAUGGCAAGGUCUUUAUUUCCCCCAACCCAGGGUGCCUGAGCCAUAGUUUAGAAAGGUUCCUUUUUUCUGUUGCAUCACAACCCCUAGAAAUCCCACCCCAAAAUGAUGUGGCCAUUGGAGGAUUCUGGAAGUUGCUGUCCAAAAAAAGAUAUAGCUUGGUGUUUUAUAUUUGUGUGACUUCCUGUAGGGAAAUGGUGCAGCAUUUGUGUCCAGAGCAGAGCAGAACGGCUACAUAAAGGGCAAUGUGGGGUGUUAACACUAUGUAGUUAAUGCAGUUUGACGUCACUUGAACUACCAUGGCUCAAUGCUAUGGAUGACAACACUUGGGCAAUAGAAUACUAUAUUAAGAGCAGUGUAUUCUUUAUGCAUGGAGAAAAGAAUUAACCUGUGUUAAUUUGUGUUGAUAUGAUGAGUACGAAAACUUUUAGAAAACACUAGCUUAUAUAACCAGUGUUGCCUGGUAUGAAUUUCUUAAUGCAAUAAUUCAAUGAGUAUUUCUAAUCAAUAAUAUUGGAAAAUUCAUACCUGGACAAUGUAUAUAUUAUAGAUGGAUGGGUAAUAGGUAAAGGUAAAGGUUUUCCCCUGACAUUAAGUCCAGUCGUGUCCGAUUCUGUGGGUUGGUGCUCAUCUUUAUUUCUAAGCCGAAGAGCCGGCGUUGUCCGUAGACACCUCCAAGGUCAUGUGGCCGGCAUGACUGCAUGGAGAGCUGUUACCUUCCUGCUGGAGAGGUACUUAUUGAUCUACUCACAUUUGCAUGUUUUCAAACUGCUGUUGGUAAUAUACGGUAUAUAUAUCUAUAUAUCCAUCUAUCCAUCCAUCCACCCACCCCUGGUUUGGCAACCUUAUUUACCUGUUCCAUUGUGACUUGCAAGUAAAUCUUUCAGGUUGAGUGAAAGACUAUAAGCAAGGAAAGAGCAAUGACAAAUGUGGCUCCCCAGCAUGGGAACUAGAUUACUGGGGAUACUGUUGUUUGAGUGGAUUUAGGUAGGAAUGCAACAAGAGUUCUUCUGUCGUCCUCCCUUCUGGAUUUGUUCAGUAAGCGAUUAGUCAAGGAUUCCACCUUGAUAUGUUCUGCCCACAGUCAAAUGGCCAAGAAACAUGGCAAACUGUGAGCUCUUCACUUCUCCUAAAAGACGUAGUUCCUCUGUACGUCUUCCGUGUUUGCCGGCGUAAACCGGUGUGGAAAAGUACAUAUGUAGGGCUAUGCGUGACUGAGGAAGCUGGUCCGAAACCAAAACAAAACCUACAGGCACAAACCUCAAACCAGUUUGACAGGAAUGUCUUCUAAGAGCAGAAGAAUGGAGAGAUAUGACCUGAGAACAGCUGAGAAAGUAUGGAAAAAUUAUUAUUAUUUUCCUAUUUUAUUUAUUCAAAAUACUUACUGUUACCUUUUUAAUUUAAUGAAUGACUCAGUUAGAAAAGACAUACCUGGGCAAUGCUAUGUACAUAAGCUGGGGUUUUGUAAAAGUUUUAGCAUCAUCACAGAUUACACUGCUCUGAAUAUUGGAUUAUGUUAAGAAUUGCAUUAUUACCCAAGUUUUGUGAUCUUAAGGACACCUUUCUCCCUUCUCCAGCUCUGCCUGGCCCUCUGAGAAGGCUUCCCUUCAGAUGUCUCCAUAGCAAAGUCUUUAUCGCAAUAUCUCCAUGAGAAUAGUACCUCCUUGCUGAUGCUCAAACCCUCUUCUACUCGUAUUUGUCAUUCAUUUCCCCAUCUGAGGCAGCCUUUCAAUCUACAUAGUGCCCGCUUGUGGUUGCCUCUGAGUGCUGCAUACAUACAUAGAUAUUUAUUCAUUUUGGGGGCCCUAGCCUCCAAAGGGGUGGACUGUUUAGUUGGGAUCUACCAGUAUUUUAAAUUGGAUCAAGAAGGAUAUGUCUACCAAGUUUGGUCCAGAUCCAUCAAGUCAUGUAGGAGUUUUUGUGGAACAUACAUACAUACAUACAUACAUACAUAUGUUAGAUAUCUAGAUACUGUAGAUACAAACGUUUUUCAAGGCAAUACUCUCAUCCUGAAAUUCCUCCCCUUGCCCCAAGGAUUAGGGGGAAAAAGGUCCAAGUAUGGAAUCCUGGGAGCUGUAUUUUUGCAAGGUCUUGAGCCUUCUUUGCCAAAGAGUGCUGGUGCCUCACCAAACUACAACUCCCAGGAUUCUAUAACAUUGAGUCAGGGCAGUUAGUAACAGUGAGGUCAAGCUGCAUUAAUUCCACAAUGUAGAUGCACCCCAAUUUGCAAACAAGGAAAUUGGCAGGGAACAUUGUGGCCCUCCACUAGUGCAAGCACAAUGUUCAUCUCCAGAAAAGGCUUAUUUAUGGAGAGGAGGUGAGCGUCAUAAAGGUACUAUUUGGAGACAUCAUUCUUCCUUAGUCCUUCCUUCUCAGAUGGCAAAAGCGUGACUUGGGGAACGGCAGACCGACGCAGGCAGCGAAGAAAUCCUACGUCUCUCGCGGGACGCUUUCAAACCCUGAAGCCACAAAUAUUCCGUAACAUAGAUGUCUUUGUUUUGACAGGAGCUUUUCCUGGAAUCUUCAACAAGGAAGUAGUAAAUUGGGAAAGAGUUGUCAUAAAUGGUUGUUGGGGUUUUGUUUUGGGUUUUUUUGCAAGAAACUAUACCAGACAAAUCUGAAGCGGAGGGCUAACUUCUCUUCUGGCAAAUUGCACAGCAAAAAUGCUCACACAGAUAACACCAAAAGCCAGGUCCAGGUAACAUGGGAUGGAUUUGGAGACCAUCUGGUUUUCCCAUUUUAACAGCCCUAUGUGUCCCAGAUGAAUGGAAAAGGCAAUGUCCCAAUUUGGCAGGUUUUGUCCCAAUUCAUCCAAGAUCUAGGACUGUGGUUCUCAACCUGGGGUCCCCAGGUGUUUUGGCCUUCAACUCCCAAAAAUCCUAACAGCAGGUAAACUGGCUUGGAUUUCUGGGAUUUCUAGGCCAAAACACCUGGGGACCCAAAGGUUGAGAACCACUGAUCUAGGAAAAUCUCACUCUGAGAUUUCUCCUCAGAUUCCUGGCCCUGAGAAGAGCUACAACCCCCCGCCCCCAAGAUCUGUGAAAAUCUCAUUUUUCAAGGCAAUGCUCUCACGCUUGAAAUUCCUCUUCCUUGUCCUGAUAACCAUCAAGCCCAGCUCACUGUUUACCUAAGCAGUUUUAAAACAGCUUAGAGCUGUAAGUAGAGAAAUUAGGUACUGCAAAUUGCGGGAAAGGUAUUUUACGACACCAUAAAGAGCAAGACCAGAAAUGUGGUGACCAAGAGGAAGGUGCAAGGAAGAAGUCCUUGGCUCUUCGUCAUAGAGAAUGGAGCAACAACAUCCCCCUGUGACUGAAUCCGAACUCAACCUCCAUGGCAUCACAACUGGACUUUGAGACAACAUACCUCCUUUCUGUCUGUUCUGUUCUGUUCUGUCCUGUCUGUCCAAACGGCAUUGAAUGAUUGCUGGGUAUGUGUACUGUGAUCCACCCUUAGUCCCCUUGGGGAGAUAGGGCAGAAUAUAAAUAAAGUAUUAUUAUUAUUAUUAUUAUUAUUAUUAUUAUUAUUAUUAUUAUUAGGGAGCCUCCAGUGGCUCAGUGUGUUCAAGCGCUGAGCUGCUGAACUUGCAGACCGAAAGGUCUCAGGUGCUAGUCUCUAAGAUGCUAGUUCUGACCUUUAAAACUCUUUACGGCCAGGGCCCAUCGUACCUUAGGGACCGUCUCUCCUUCUCCCAUCAUCGGAGGUCGCAACGACCGGGUCCUAGAGAAGUGCACUUGGAAAGGACCAGACGCAGAGCUUUUUCUAUUUCUGCCCCUGCCUUAUGGAAUGCCUUGCCGCCCUACAUGAGAGCCAUGCUUUUAUCUUGUAAAUUGCCUAGAGCAUCAUGGAUGGAGGGCGAUUAAUAAGUAAUUAAAUGAUGAUGAUGAUGAUGAUGAUGAUGAUGAUGUUCAAAUCCGGGGAGCAGAGUGAGCGCCCGCUGUUGCUCCAGCUUCUGCCAACCUAGCAGUUCGAAAACAUGCCAAUGUUAUCUGUCUGUAUGGAGCCGUAGUGGUGCAAUGGGUUAACCCUUAUGCCGGCUGGACUACUGACCUGAAGGUUGGGUUGCAGACCUGAAGACUGCCGUGAGACAUGCAUUUAUAUUCUGCCCCAUGGAAGCCCCAGUGGUGCAGCGGAUUAAACCGCUGAGCUGCUGAACUUGCUGACCAAAAAGUUGUCUGUUCGAAUCCAGGGAGUGGGGUGAGCUCCUGCUGUUAGCCCCAGCUUCUGCCAACCUAACAGGUUCCAGGACCACCCGCAAUAAGUGAAAAUCCGCGAAGACAAUUGGAUGCCGGCUGCUUCUCGUCAGAGCCGAGAAAAAGAGAGAAAAUGUCACUGUGACACAAAAGGGGAUGACUAAACCUUACUAAUGAAAACGAUGACAGGGGAAAGUGACCUGACUAAUCCGCCAGCGAACGCACAAUUAUGUGUGCCUGUAUCCCUGUUUUUCUGGGAUUUAAAACCUGGAGGUGGGGAAGGGGGUAAUUUUGGUUUAGUGUUUCAGAAGCUAGGGUUGGCAUGGCCUGAAAUUUCAUGAUCCAUUCCAUUUGGGGGAGCCCUCAGUGGUGCAGCGUGUUAAAGCAUUGAGCUGCUGAACUUGCAGACUGAAAGGUCGCAGGUUCAAAUCGAGGAGCAGAAUGAGCGCCUGCUGUUAGCCCCAGCUUCUGCCAACCUAGCAGUUCGAAAACAUGCAAAUGUGAGUAGAUCAAUAGAUACCACUCUGGCAGGAAGGUAACGGCGUUCCAUGCAGUCAUGCCAGCCACAUGACCUAGGAGGUGUCUACAGACAACGCCCGCUCUUCGGCUUAGAAAUGGAGAUGAGCACCAACCCCCAGAGUUGGACACGACUAGACUUAAUGUCAGGGGAAAACCUUUACCUUUACCUAUUCCAUUUGGAUCCCAUGCUCUUGGACUGACCUGAUUCUGCAGGGACAAUCCCAAUCAUCCCCAGCCAUCCUAUUUUUCCCAUCUGGAAUGAAAAGAAACCUUGAAAAAAAAGCCUGCAAGUGUGGAGGACCUACUAUAGUAUACCUUCAACACAUUUUGCAGGGCUGCUUUAAAGUUCUGACUAAACCCCAGAACGGAUUCACAUGGGAGCCUAUAUCCACUGUGACUUAAAUGUCUCUAGCUGCACAUAGAAUCCUAGAGUUGGAAGAGACUUCGUGGGUCAUCCAGUCCAUCCCCAUUCUGCCAAGAAGCAGGAAUAUCGCAUUCAUAGUACACCUGACAGAUGGCAUCCAGGCUCUGCUUAAAAGCCUCCAAAGAAGGAGCCUCCACCACACUCGGCCACAGAGAGUUCCACUGCUGAACAGCUCUCACAGUUAGGAAGUUCUUCCUAAUACUCAGGUGGAAUCUCGUGUAGUUUAUAGCCAUUGUUCCAUGUCCUAGUCUCCAUGGCAGAAGAAAACAAGCUUGCUUCCGCCUAUAACUUCCCUUCACAUAUUUCCUCAUGGCCCUCAUCAUGUCUCCUCUCUGCCUUCUCUUCUGCAGGCUGAACAUGCCCAGCUCUUUAAGCCGCUCCUCAUAGGGCUUGUUCUCCAGACCCUUGAUCAUUUGAUCUGUCUAUAUAUGUCGUAUGUCUAAUGGCAUUGAAUGUUUGCCAUGUAUAUGUGCAUUGUGAUCCACCUGAGUCCCCUUUGGGGUGAGAAGGGUGGAAUAUAAAUACUGUAAAUAAAUAAAUAAAUAAAUACAACAACGACGACAACAAGAACAACACAUUUGAGUCGCCCUCCUCUGGACACAUUCCAGCUUGUCAACAUCUUCCUUCAGUUAUGGUGCUUUGUUGCUAAAUUACUUCCGAACUGGAGAAUAUCUGUGGUAAUAUUAGCUGCAGAGGGAUGAGCAGUCCCAUUUCCUCCUCUGCUUAGUGUUUCACCACAGAAAACCGUUGCAUUAUUUCUAAAACCCAUCUCUCUUACCGUCAACCCUCGCACCAAGUAAGAGCUGGAAAACAAAACACAGUUGACGGGGAAUAGCUUUAACACCCCGAUCAUUCAGAUUCCUGUCAGGUUAAUGAGCACUUGACUGUGGGACGGGCUUUGUCUUCUUCUAGCCAGAACUUGUCCGCACUGUGACUUCAUCUCCUAAACUUCCUAAUGAGGACAGUUUUCAAUAAAGAUCCUUUUUUGUCUUCUCCGGCCAUUUCCAGCUUAGCCGAAUCAUACGCCAGGAAUGCUAUCGUUUCCAUGUUAUUACAGACCCCACUGUUGUGGUCGGACUAAUGUCAGCAAUAGGUCAUGCUUGGCAAAUGUGGAAGGGAGGAGAAUGUUCAGAAAGUUGGGUGGAAAUCUCUGGAAAACAACCAGAUGCAGUCCAAGGGUGUAUCUACACUGUAGAAUGAAUGCAGUUUGACACCACUUUAACUGCAAUGGCUCCAAGAUACGGUAUCCUGGGAGUUGUAAUUUUGCAAGGUCUUUUGUCUUACCAAAGUGAUAUUCCCAAGAUUCCAUAUCAUGGAGCCACGGCAUUAAAGUGGUGUCAGACUGCAUUCAUUUUACAGUGUAGAUGCACCUCUAAUCAAUCUAACAUGGGUUAAAAGUAAAGGUUUUCCCCUGACAUUAAGUCUAGUCGUGUCCGACUCUGGGGGUUGGUGCUCAUCUCCAUUUCUAAGCCGAAGAGCGGGUGUUGUCCAUAGACACCUCCAAGGUCAUGUGGCCAGCAUGACUGCAUGGAGCGCUGGUACUAUCCCUCCAGAGCGGUACCUAUUGAUCUACUCGCAUUUACAUGUUUUCGAACUGCUAGGUUGGCAGAAGCUGGGGCUAACCGUGGGUGCUCACUCCGCUCUCUGGAUUCGAACUGCCAACCUGUCGGUCAGCAAGUUCAGCAGGUCAGCGCUUUAACACGCUGCGCCACCGAGAGCCCAUGAAUUGCGAAUUCAAUUGCACUUUCAAGGUGUAUUUUUGGAAGGUGGCUGUCGAUUCGUGAAGAUAACAAGAUAGAGGGUGCAUCUACACUGUAGAAUUAAUGCAGUUUGACACCACUUUAAAUCUAUGGCCCAAUACUAUGCAAUAAUGGGAGUUGUAGUUUGGUAAGGCACCAGCCCUCUUUGGCAGAGAAGGGGACAGACCGUGUGAAAUGAGAAUCCCUAACUAGAGGCUAUCCUUAUAUCCAGACCUCAGAGUCUGGACAUAUUCUCAAAUGGUAAUGCCACCUCCCAAAUGGUUUAAAUGCAGAUCUGUAUUUGUAUUUGUUCAGCUCCUUUGGCUGCUUUUUGUGCGCUUGUGGAUCGGUGUUUUGUGUGUGAGCGAAGCCACUUAAAGGGCCGGCUCCCACUACGUUUCCCUGCCGCUCAAGACAGGAAGGCAAAUAUAUUACUUUUCAUGGUGGAUGGCAGGGAUCCAAGCACAUCUAGCGGAGGAAGGAAGCAAUCUUAUCAGUCCUCCUGGCCCAUUGAUAAAAACCACAGAAGGAAAUCAUUCAGCUUUCAACGAGGAAAGGGAAGUCUUAAAUGAGAAUUAGAUGUCGCCUUGGGAGCUUUCAAGCCGUCAGAAAUUGCACACGCAAAGCCAAGAAGGCUUUCAACCCGCGCGGUGCGAGAUCGGAGCAGAAUUAACCUCCUCCUCAUGGUCUGUACAGUUCUAACAAAGCGAGUGAGGAUGGUAUGUUGUCCUUGGGUACAUCUGCACUGUAGAGUUAAUGCAGUUUGACCCCACUUUAGCUGCCAUGGCUCAGUGCUGUGAAAUCACGGGAGUUGUAGUUUGACAAGGUCUUUGGCCUCCUCUAACAAAGUGUGCUAGGACCCAAUCAAAUCUACAGCGUAGAAUCAGAUGCAUCCACCCACACCACCAUCUCUUGGAUUUGGGAGUUUUACCAUUGACCAGAAGUGUCACACAUUUUUAAUGUAAAUAUAUAUGAUUAAUCUUGAAAAAGGGAACCAUGCCAAAAUGUGAAAUUAAUUUAUGAUUUAUAUACACAUUGUUCACAUAGGAGCCCCUGAUGGCACAGCGGGUUAAAUCUCUCUGCUGCUGAAUUUGCUGACCGAAAGGUCUGCAGUUCAAAUCCGGGGAGCGGGGUGAGCUCCUGUUGUUAGCCCCAGCUUCUGCCAACCUAGCAGCUCAAAAACAUGCAAAUGUGAGUAGAUCAUUAGGUACUGCUCUGGCAGUCAUGCCGUCCACAUGACCUUGGAGGCGUUUACGGACAAUGGUGGCUCUUCGGAUUAGAAAUGUAGAUGAGCACCGGACACGACUAGACUAAAUGUCAGGGAAACACCUAUUCACAUAGCUUGGAUGUAAUUGUCUAAAAAAAUUAAAAAUAAUUUUAUGUUCAAGACAAAGUUUGUGUACAUUGAACCAUCAAGAAAGCAAAGGGUUCGCGAUCACUACCCAUAAGGACAUUUUCAGAUUUCGAGUAUUUUAGAUUAUUGGAUGCGGGAGUUCAGCCUGUUCCUUUAGACUGAAGUAUUUAUUGGGGGUUUUGCUUGCUUUUUCUUUGUGGGUGAGGAUAGGGAUAGAAUAGUGUCUGUUAGGUUUGCUGUUUUAGGGUUUUAAAAAGAAUUACAGUAGAGUCUCACUUAUCCAACAUAAACAGGCCGGCAGAACGUUGGAUAAGUGAAUAUGUUGGAUAAUAAGGAGGGAUUAAGGAAAAGCCUAUUAUACAUCAAAUUAGGUUAUGAUUUUACAAAUUAAGCACCAAACCAUCAUGUUUAACAACAAAUUUGACAGAAAAAGUAGUUCAAUACGCAGUAAUGCUAUGUAGUAAUUACUGUAUUUACAAAUUUAACACCAAAAUAUCAUGAUGUAUUGAAAACAUUGACUACAAAAAUGUGUUGGAUAAUCCAGAACGUUGGAUAAGUGAGACUCUACUGUAUUUGUUUCUAGUUUUGGUGUGUAAGUACAAUGUACAUCAGAAGUGGUCAGUGCACUUCUCAUGCACACCAGGACUAGCCAAUGCAAAUUGUCUCUUGAUUCAGAUAGGAAUCUAGUUUUUUUUUUGUUUUUUUUCGUGUCAGGAGUAACCGAAGUUGCUUCUGGAGUGAGAGAAUUGGCCGUCUGCAAGGACGUUGCCCAGGGGACGCCCGGAUGUUUUUGAUGUUUUACCAUCCUUGUGGGAGGCUUCUCUCAUGUCCCCGCAUGGAGCUGGAAGAGGGAGCUCAUCCGCACUCUCCCCAGGUGGGAUUCGAACCUGGCAACUUUCAGGUCAGCAACCCAACCUUCCAGUCACUUAGUCCACUACGCCAUCUGGGGGCUAGGAAUCUAGUGAUCUAAUCGCUCUUAGGAUAUUAUCACAUGUGGUGGAGUCCCCUGUGGCGCAAUGAGUUAAACCCUUGUGCUGGCAGGACUGCUGACCAAUAGGUCAGCGGAUCGAAUUUGGGGAGAGCAGGGUGAGCUCCCUCUGUCAGCUGCAGCUCCCCGUGCGGGGACAUGAAAGAAGCUUCCCACAAGGAUGGUAAAACAUCAAACAUCUGGGUGUCCCCUGGGCAACGUCCUAACAGAUGACCAAUUCUCUCAUACCAGAGCAACUUGCAGUUUCUCAACUCGCUCCUGAUAUGGAAAAAAAUUGUAUGUGGUUCGUAAUGCAAGUUAUAGCUUCCCCAUUUAGGAAGAGAAGCCCUUCCUUAAAGACAGACCAGGUAGUGAUGCCUUUGAGGCUGAUGAGCAUGGAUGCAGGUGGUCUUUGGCAUCCCACCUGCCUUUGUCGGACAGGAUCUAACUGUGAAUGUUGUGUCUAAUUUCCAAAGUCUUUCCUUACCCUUUUACCUCCUGCCCAUAUUUUUAGCAUAAACUAAAACCUUAGUGAUUCCUACUGCUCUGUUUCAUUUUCAGGUGCCCUGUUUUGUUAUCAUUGACUCACUGGUGUGGUUGUCAAACCUGAUUUAUCAGAGCCCUGUUCCCAAUGACCUUUAGAGUACGGCAUGUUACAGCAGCCAAGUCUUCUCUCUCACCCCCACCCCAAACUCCCAGGAACAAAGAGAGGAAUGAGUUGACAUGGCUGUGCCCUCUUACACUCGGCUACAUUUACGAGGUGACAGGACAGCUCUGUACGGUUCUAUUAGUCUGUAGGUCAGUCAUGAUGCGAGAUCGGGGUGUAUCACACCUGGAAACUUGUCUCCUUCCUGGAUUAUUGUUGCCUGCUGUGGCAGUUACCUGGAGGAGGAGCAGGUUCCAAAGAUGCACACAGACCCUCUUGUCACAACACAAAACAACACAGAUGAGUUUGGACAUUAUCACACAAGGAAGAGUCAUGGAACAACAGUGGUGUCGGAUCCAUUGAGGAGUUUUCCAAUGCCUCACUAAACUGCAACUCCCAGGAUCCCUUUGCAUUGAGCCAUUGAAGUUAAAGUGGUGUCAAACUGCAUUAAUUUUACAGUGUAGAUCAGUGGUUCCCAACCUUUUUUUGACCAGGGACCACUCUCCAAUAUUAGUACAGUAGAGUCUCACUAAUCCAAGCCUCGCUUAUCCAAGCCUCUGGAUUAUCCAAGCCAUUUUUGUAGUCAAUGUUUUCAAAAUAUCGUGAUAUUUUGGUGAUAAAUUCAUAAAUACAGUAAUUACAACAUAACAUUACUGUGUAUUGAACUACUUUUUUGUCAAAUUUGUUGUAAAACAUGAUGUUUUGGUGCUUAAUUUGUAAAAUCAUAACUUAAUUUGAUGUUUGAUAGGCUUUUCCUUAAUCCCUCCUUAUUAUCCAAUAUAUUCGCUUAUCCAAGCUUCUGCCGGCCCAUUUAGCUUGGAUAAGUGAGACUCUACUGUACCAAAAGGGCCUAGCACUUUAUAGUUGGCCUUACCCAUGCUGAAGCCCUGGUCAUCAUAUCUGGCCCCAUUUUGUAACUGGUUUUUAAAUUUUUGUUGUUGUUUUGAAUUGUAUGUUCUUGUUUCAUGUUUAUUAUUUUUUAUUAUGUUUAAUUUUGUUAAACAUAAUUGUACAUUGUUGCAUUGUUUCUUUUGCUAUGUUGGAAACCACCCUGAGUCCUCUCGAGAAGAUAGGGCGGUAUAUAAAUAAAGUACAGUAGAGUCUCACUUAUCCAACACUCGCUUAUCCAACAUUCUGGAUUAUCCAACGCAUUUUUGUAGUCAAUGUUUUCAAUACAUCAUGAUAUUUUGGUGCUAAAUUUGUAAAUACAGUAAUUACUACAUAGCAUUACUGAGUAUUAAACUACUUUUUCUGUCAAAUUUGUUGUAUAACAUGAUGUUUUUGUGCUUAAUUUGUAAAAUUAUAAUGUAAUUUGAUGUUUAAUAGGCUUUUCCUUAAUCCCUCCUUAUUAUCCAACAUAUUCGCUUAUCCAACGUUCUGCCGGCCCGUUUAUGUUGGAUAAGUGAGACUCUACUGUAUUAUUAUUAUUAUUAUUAUUAUUAUUAUUAUUAUUAUUAUUAUUAUUAUUUAUUGGGGUUACGGAUCAGUUUUUGGUCAACUUUAGAUUCAUCCCCUGGUGGCACAGCAGGUUAAACCGCUGAGCUGCUGAACUUGCUGAGCGAACGGUCACCAGUUCGAAUCCAGGGAGCGGGGUGAGCUCCCGCUGUUAGCCCCACCUUCUGCCAAACUUGCAGUUUGAAAACAUGCAAAUGUGAGUAGAUCAAUAGGUACUGCUUUGGCGGAAAGGUAACGGCACUCCAUGCUGUCAUGCCAGUCACAUGACCUUCGAGGUGUCUAUGGACAACGCCGGCUCUUUGGCUUAGAAAUGGAGAUGAGCACCAACUCCCAGAGUCGGACACAACGAGACUUAACCCUUAUCUUUAUCUCAGAUUCGGUUUGGUUAUUUGGGGUGCUGAUUCAGAAAAUUGCAUUGGAUAGACCAUAUCAUCUCUAGUUCUGAUAUAGAACAUAUGCCAUCCAGUAGUCUCCAUCUGCUCGCCCACAGAAAACCAUAUUUAAUAAUCUAGAGCUGUUGUGAUAGUAGUAAUCUUUUGUGGGUAGUCAAGCCUCACCCAUCCCGACAUCCCAGUUGUCUUGGCACUAUAAGAGAGUUUCGCGAGACCAGUCGCUCUUGUUGCCGCAUAGUUUGAAAGCAACGGUGUAGUAAUGGCGAGUCUGUGGGCCAUAUUUUCGUUCUUGAGGACCACUGGUGGUCCACGGACCACAGGUUGGGAACCACUGGUGUAGAUGCACCCUUCAUAGACCUUUGCAAAUGAAUUUUUGAAAUAAAAUAUAAUAUCUA
This is a long non-coding RNA of Anolis carolinensis (green anole), 12678 nucleotides long. RefSeq lists it as uncharacterized. The transcript has 6 exons. The record is from RefSeq and is a predicted model, not a curated record. Lineage: Eukaryota; Metazoa; Chordata; Lepidosauria; Squamata; Anolidae.